AGGAAAAUAUGUUUAGUUUAAAUUUAUUUGUGAUGAAAAGUUAGUGCUAAAUUGUAGGCAAAUUUUUUGUGUUUAUAAGUAUUGUGGAAAGAAAAUUUUAUUGUUUGGAGCUAGAGUUAAUGAGUACCGUGAGGGAAGUUGAGAUUUUGGGUUUUAUUUUUUCUUAGUAGGGGUUAAAUCCUGUACCUUUUGCAUCAUGGUUCUUUAAGAGGUUUUUUAGAUAAAGUUGGCCCGAAAGAAAACGAGCUAUUUUUUGGCUUGCGUCAUCGUUGUAAAGAUGUGCUGAGACUAAAAGAUAGGAGUGAUAUUCUUUUCGCGUUUUCUGAUAGCUGGUUGACUAGGAAAGGCAUUAGAGUGCUCCCUCAAGCGUAAGGUUUUUGUCAAGUAUAAGUAUAUUUUGUAGUUGGGCAUGAAGUGUUUUGCUCGGGGGUUGUGCAGGAAAGGAUUAGCUUUCCUGCAUUAUUAAAAAGUUAGGUUAGGGCAUUGUUAAUAAUUUAGUAGGCUUAGAGUUGGCCAUCUUUUAAGUUUGUUUUAAAAUAUUUAUUAUUUUUAGCUAAAAAUCUAUGUGUAUGGCUUUUAAAUUGGGUUAUGUACUGGUCUCACAAGUGAAAUUAGGUUUGCUUGUGAAAUAAUGAGGAAAUGAGUAUUUGUUUUAAUUUAGUUUACUUUUAUCGGUUAAGGUAAUUUGGUAAAGAAUUUAAGUUUUACGUUUGGGAUUAAAAAUCUUGGAAAGGAACUCGGCAAAGAUUGGCCUCGCCUGUUUAGCAAAAACAUCGCUCUUUGAUAUUAUUUUAGAUAAGGAGUCGGACCUGCCCGGUGACCUACGGGUUAAACGGCCGCGGUACACUGACCGUGCAAAGGUAGCACAAUCACUUGCCUUUUAAUUGGAGGCUGGUAUGAAUGGUUUGACGAGGGUUGAGCUGUCUCUCCUCGAAUAUUUAAAAAUUAACUUCUAAGUGAGAAGGCUUAGAUUAAGCUGAGGGACGAGAAGACCCUGUUGAGCUUUAGCGUGGGAUAAAGUAGUUAUUUCUAUUAUAAUAGAGGAUUUUGGGUUUAUUCUUACAUCUUUAGUUGGGGUGACUAGGGAACAUGAAAAGCUUCUCUGUUAAUUUGUGGGAUUUUGGUUUACUAACAAGUGAUCCAGCAUUGUUGAUUAUCGGAAAAAGUUACCAUAGGGAUAACAGCGUAAUCUUCCUGGAGAGUUCACAUUGAAAGGAGGGUUUGCGACCUCGAUGUUGGAUUAAGGUGUCCUGAGGGUGUAGCAGCUCUCAUUGGUUGGUCUGUUCGACCAUUAAAACCUUACAUGAUCUGAGUUCAGACCGGCGUAAGCCAGGUUGGUUUCUAUCUUCAGUUUAUAUUGUUUCUUUGGCUAGUACGAAAGGACCGCUUUAAGGCAAAUAUUUAGUUUGUGUUAGUUGAUUAUAUUUAAAUUUGAUAUAAAAUUUAUUGGUAGU
RNAcentral lists this ribosomal RNA (1454 nucleotides) under Haliotis virginea. Its description in RNAcentral is "16S ribosomal RNA". It matches the Rfam family "Bacterial large subunit ribosomal RNA", at positions 411 to 2925 of the family's 2925-position model. The record is from RNAcentral. Lineage: Eukaryota; Metazoa; Mollusca; Gastropoda; Lepetellida; Haliotidae.